GAUAAACGCUGGCGGCGUGCCUAAUACAUGCAAGUCGAGCGAACGGACGAGAAGCUUGCUUCUCUGAUGUUAGCGGCGGACGGGUGAGUAACACGUGGAUAACCUACCUAUAAGACUGGGAUAACUUCGGGAAACCGGAGCUAAUACCGGAUAAUAUUUUGAACCGCAUGGUUCAAAAGUGAAAGACGGUCUUGCUGUCACUUAUAGAUGGAUCCGCGCUGCAUUAGCUAGUUGGUAAGGUAACGGCUUACCAAGGCAACGAUGCAUAGCCGACCUGAGAGGGUGAUCGGCCACACUGGAACUGAGACACGGUCCAGACUCCUACGGGAGGCAGCAGUAGGGAAUCUUCCGCAAUGGGCGAAAGCCUGACGGAGCAACGCCGCGUGAGUGAUGAAGGUCUUCGGAUCGUAAAACUCUGUUAUUAGGGAAGGACAUAUGUGUAAGUAACUGUGCACAUCUUGACGGUACCUAAUCAGAAAGCCACGGCUAACUACGUGCCAGCAGCCGCGGUAAUACGUAGGUGGCAAGCGUUAUCCGGAAUUAUUGGGCGUAAAGCGCGCGUAGGCGGUUUUUUAAGUCUGAUGUGAAAGCCCACGGCUCAACCGUGGAGGGUCAUUGGAAACUGGAAAACUUGAGUGCAGAAGAGGAAAGUGGAAUUCCAUGUGUAGCGGUGAAAUGCGCAGAGAUAUGGAGGAACACCAGUGGCGAAGGCGACUUUCUGGUCUGUAACUGACGCUGAUGUGCGAAAGCGUGGGGAUCAAACAGGAUUAGAUACCCUGGUAGUCCACGCCGUAAACGAUGAGUGCUAAGUGUUAGGGGGUUUCCGCCCCUUAGUGCUGCAGCUAACGCAUUAAGCACUCCGCCUGGGGAGUACGACCGCAAGGUUGAAACUCAAAGGAAUUGACGGGGACCCGCACAAGCGGUGGAGCAUGUGGUUUAAUUCGAAGCAACGCGAAGAACCUUACCAAAUCUUGACAUCCUUUGACAACUCUAGAGAUAGAGCCUUCCCCUUCGGGGGACAAAGUGACAGGUGGUGCAUGGUUGUCGUCAGCUCGUGUCGUGAGAUGUUGGGUUAAGUCCCGCAACGAGCGCAACCCUUAAGCUUAGUUGCCAUCAUUAAGUUGGGCACUCUAAGUUGACUGCCGGUGACAAACCGGAGGAAGGUGGGGAUGACGUCAAAUCAUCAUGCCCCUUAUGAUUUGGGCUACACACGUGCUACAAUGGACAAUACAAAGGGCAGCGAAACCGCGAGGUCAAGCAAAUCCCAUAAAGUUGUUCUCAGUUCGGAUUGUAGUCUGCAACUCGACUACAUGAAGCUGGAAUCGCUAGUAAUCGUAGAUCAGCAUGCUACGGUGAAUACGUUCCCGGGUCU
RNAcentral lists this ribosomal RNA (1372 nucleotides) under uncultured bacterium. RNAcentral's name for it is "bacterial SSU rRNA". It matches the Rfam family "Bacterial small subunit ribosomal RNA", at positions 28 to 1381 of the family's 1533-position model. The record is from RNAcentral.